Molecule: transfer RNA, 71 nt
Filed under: Penaeus chinensis
Lineage: Eukaryota; Metazoa; Arthropoda; Malacostraca; Decapoda; Penaeidae
Description: tRNA-Gly
Rfam family: tRNA
About the family: Transfer RNA (tRNA) molecules are approximately 80 nucleotides in length. Their secondary structure includes four short double-helical elements and three loops (D, anti-codon, and T loops).
Source: RNAcentral
GCAUCGGUGGUUCAGUGGUAGAAUUCUCGCCUGCCACGCGGGAGGCCCGGGUUCGAUUCUCGGCCGAUGCA